GAUAAACGCUGGCGGCGUGCGUAAACAUGUAAGUCGAACGGGCCGACGCAAGUCGGUCAGUGGCGGCCGGCUGAGUAACGCGUAGGUGACUUGCCCUAAAGUGGGGAAUAACGAUUCGAAAGAAUCGCUAAUACCGCAUGUGGUUGUACGUAUAGACGCGUGCAACUAAAGCUCGCAAGGGCGCUUUGGGAGAGGCCUGCGUCCGAUUAGCUAGUUGGUGGGGUAAUGGCCUACCAAGGCUCCGAUCGGUAGCUGAUCUGAGAGGAUGAUCAGCCAGACUGGGACUGAGACACGGCCCAGACUCCUACGGGAGGCAG
RNAcentral lists this ribosomal RNA (317 nucleotides) under uncultured Chloroflexota bacterium. Its description in RNAcentral is "bacterial SSU rRNA". It matches the Rfam family "Bacterial small subunit ribosomal RNA", at positions 28 to 351 of the family's 1533-position model. The record is from RNAcentral. Lineage: Bacteria; Bacillati; Chloroflexota.